Molecule: ribosomal RNA, 343 nt
Filed under: uncultured Synergistaceae bacterium
Lineage: Bacteria; Thermotogati; Synergistota; Synergistia; Synergistales; Synergistaceae
Description: bacterial SSU rRNA
Rfam family: Bacterial small subunit ribosomal RNA
Source: RNAcentral
CAUGGCUGUCGUCAGCUCGUGUCGUGAGAUGUUGGGUUAAGGUCCCGCAACGAGCGCAACCCCUCGCAUUCAGUUGCCAUCGGGUAAUGCCGGGCACUCUGGAAGGACUGCCAUCGACAAGAUGGAGGAAGGUGGGGAGUGACGUCAAGUCAUCAUGGCCCUUAUGUCCAGGGCGACACACGUGCUACAAUGGCCGGCACAACGGGAAGCGAGUUCGCGAGGACGAGCGGAUCCCUCAAAGCCGGUCGCAGUUCGGAUUGAAGUCUGCAACUCGACUUCAUGAAGCUGGAAUCGCUAGUAAUCGUGGAUCAGCCAAGCCGCGGUGAAUACGUUCCCGGGCCUU